This 21-nucleotide non-coding RNA is filed under the name Caenorhabditis elegans. The record is from RNAcentral. Lineage: Eukaryota; Metazoa; Nematoda; Chromadorea; Rhabditida; Rhabditidae.
UUUUCUUUCAUGCAGCGAGAU